GAUCAGUGCCGAUUUAUCAGUGUACACAGGAGAAAUGGUUUCAAUAUUGUUAGCAGUCCAGUGGAUUGAAGAAAUAAAGCCACUAAGAUCUGUGAUAUGUUCAGACUCGAGCUCAUCACUGGCCAGUCUGCAAGACAGUCACUCAGAAUGCAGACCUGACAUUCUGAUAGAGAUCCAGCAAACAUUAUUCAGAAUUAUUAUGAUGGGGCUUAUGGUCACAUUCUUAUGGGUACCAGCGCAUCAUGGAGUUAAAGGAAAUGAAACGGCAGAUAGGACAGCAAAAGAAGCAACAAGGAGACCGAUGGUAGAUAUGGUUAUUAGUGUUAGUAGGACGGAGCUCAAGAGUAGAAUACGAUAGAAAAUGAAGGAAAGGUGGCAAAAGCAAUGGGAGGAAGAGAGGAAAGGGCGAUGGUUUUACAAAAUCCAAAGGAAAGUGGGGAAAAUGAGAAGUACAGGACGAAACAGGAGAGAGGAGAUGGUUAUAUCUCGACUUAGAUUCGGACACACUGGUUUGAAUAGCACAUUAUUUUUAAUAGGAAAACACUAUACAGGGGAGUGUGACUGCAGUAGGGGACAGGAAACAAUAGAACACGUUUAUUGCUUUGUCAGAAGUAUGAUAUUGAAAGGAAACAACUGAUCAAAAAGCUGGACAAUAUGAGAGUGAAGUUGGACUUUCUUGAUUUAUUUCGCAUGAACUCUAUAAGUGAAAGUUAUCAGGCUGUAUUUUGGUUUUUAAGGCAGACCCAUUUGUUCGGGAGGAUUUGAAUUUUUUUUUUUUUUUUUUUUGUCAUUUCGGUCCACACUCCACAUCAGUUGGUGGCGGUUAUGCACCAUUUUGCUGUUUGCAAACCGCCAAUAAACCCUAUAAAGAAGAAGAAGAAGAAGAAGAAGACCUCUGCCAGAUCUACUGCUAACUCACAUUAGUGCUAGGCCGCCAAGCUCUUGUGAGAGCCCCUUAACAAUUGCAUUUCUCCUCACCGUGUUUUCUCUUUGUCAUAGGAACCCCUGGCCGUCACGCAUCACAAGCUGGACUACACGCAUCUCUGUCUGGACGCUGGUUCUCUGUUAUCAUGUUGCUCCUUUUUCAUCGUAAGACUUCACCUGCCUGCCUCCCUGUCUGUUGCUCCCAGUAUAUUCUGGCCCCUCUCUGGACACUCCUCACCCGGACCCCCUGGACACCCCCCUCCUCGCAUGACACUUUCACCUGCAACGCUGACUCCGUGUACCUCGAAGCCGCUGCCCCUUUUUCCCUCCCCAGGACCCGUCUAUGAAAUCUUGCAUCUGGUCAUCUGAAAGCACGCAGUCUGAGUUUCAUGUUCAUAGUCUGGCCUCAUAGUUCUCAGUUCAUAGCUUUCACAGUUUCCUGCUUUGUAAUUUAACUAGGCACUGUAAAUAAAGCACCGUGUUCACGCCCGUUUUGCCUCCCUCUGUGUCUGCAUUUGAGUCCACACAAACAGCCUGGCCCUCUCGGCCGUAACACUGCCACACCCAGGCAGUAAACACUUUUACUGUGGGUCACAGAAACAGAC
Long non-coding RNA from Astatotilapia calliptera (eastern happy), 1529 nucleotides. NCBI's taxonomy places the organism in Eukaryota, Metazoa, Chordata, Actinopteri, Cichliformes, Cichlidae. The record is from Ensembl.